CAAGCGGUGGAUGAUGUGGAUUAAUUCGAUGCAACGCGAAGAACCUUACACCCUUGACAUGUCCGGAACUUGCCAGAGAUGGCUUGGGUGCCCGAAAGGGAAUCGGAACACAGGUGCCGCAUGGCUGUCGUCAGCUCGUGUCGUGAGAUGUUGGGUUAAGUCCCGCAACGAGCGCAACCCUUAUCAUUAGUUGCUACGCAAGGGCACUCUAAUGAGACUGCCGGUGACAAACCGGAGGAAGGUGGGGAUGACGUCAAGUCCUCAUGGCCCUUAUGGGUAGGGCUUCACACGUCAUACAAUGGUCGGUACAGAGGGUUGCCAAGCCGCGAGGCGGAGCCAAUCCCACAAAGCCGAUCGUAGUCCGGAUUGUUCUCUGCAACUCGAGAGCAUGAAGUCGGAAUCGCUAGUAAUCGCAGGUCAGCAUACUGCGGUGAAUACGUUCCCGGGUCUU
Molecule: ribosomal RNA, 451 nt
Filed under: uncultured Thiobacillus sp.
Lineage: Bacteria; Pseudomonadati; Pseudomonadota; Betaproteobacteria; Nitrosomonadales; Thiobacillaceae
Description: bacterial SSU rRNA
Rfam family: Bacterial small subunit ribosomal RNA
Source: RNAcentral